Long non-coding RNA from Equus caballus (horse), 1085 nucleotides. The record is from Ensembl. NCBI's taxonomy places the organism in Eukaryota, Metazoa, Chordata, Mammalia, Perissodactyla, Equidae.
GAUUCUUAUCUCCACCAUGCACCCAGCUCUUAUCUGCCCUCUCAUUUUAUUACUUUUUUAUUUUGAUGAGUGUACACCUCAUCUCCUGGACUACGUGUGGGAAGAGUGCUGCACGAAAGUGUGCUGUGAUUUCUCCGCAUAGCACCUACCCUCCCGAGUAAAUAAGCUGGCCGUACGUACAUCACACAGACGAGGGGACUGGCUGACUCCUUAAAGGCAAGCAGAGAGAAAGGGAGUCAGCAAAAGGAACAUUUUUUCAUUACUACACAGUGUUGAUACUCAUGUUUGAUAGAAUUAGAAAAAAGCAUUAUGCACCAGCUGAUGCAAUGCUUGAGUCAGGCAAGAAUCCGCGCUGGACGCAGAAAGCUCUCGCUGGAUGUAAGUUUGUUGUGCAAGAAUGCAGUCCUCAAGAGUCAGAGACGCAGCCCCGCCCUCCCCGGGAAUACGUGUGAAUUACAAAGAGAAGAGGCGCUCUGGAGGCCACCACCACAUUCAAAGUGAGCGUCGCUCAUGCAGGGACAGCUCCACAGUGGCAGCCUCCUGACCCCGCGGAGGGUGGAGGUCACAGCCUCCCUCUAGAGUUCUCUUGGCAACAGUUUUUCCUCUGACUCUGAUAGUGAGGGGGACAUAACCUGGACUGGGGACCUUCAACAGGACAACUGGAUUAGAAAACAACAAGCCAUAAAAGACAUUUUUGGGACAUUGGAGAAAUGUGAAUAUGGCCUGCACAUUAAAUAAGAUUACAUAUUAAUGUUCAUUUUGGGGGGUAUGUUAAUGGUAUGGUGGUUGCUGUGGACUGAAUAUUUGUGCCCCCCCGAAAUUCAUAUGCUGAAAUGCUAACCCCCAGUGUGACGGUGUUAGGAGGUGGGGCCUUUGGGAGGUGAUUAGGUCAUGAGGGCGGAGCCCCAUGAAGGGGAUCAGGGCCCUUAUAAAAGGGACUCCAGAGGGCCCUCUUGCCUUCUCCACCACAGACGGAGAAAACUGCCGGCUGCCACUGGGAAGAGGGUGCUCACCAGCCCCUGACCUGCUGGCACUCUGACCUCGGGCUUCCGGCCUCCAGAACUCUGAGAAAUAAAUUUCCGUUG